GAAAUGCGAUAAGUAAUGUGAAUUGCAGAAUUCAGUGAAUCAUCGAAUCUUUGAACGCACAUUGCGCCCUCUGGUAUUCCGGAGGGCAUGCCUGUUCGAGCGUCAUUUCAACCCUCAAGCUCUGCUUGGUAUUGGGCAACGUCCGCUGCCGGACGUGCCUUGAAGACCUCGGCGACGGCGUCCUAGCCUCGAGCGUAGUAGUAAAAUAUCUCGCUUUGGAGUGCUGGGCGACGGCCGCCGGACAAUCGACCUUCGGUCUAUUUUUCCAAGGUUGACCUCGGAUCAGGUAGGGAUACCCGCUGAACUUAA
RNAcentral lists this unclassified non-coding RNA (309 nucleotides) under uncultured Ascomycota. Its description in RNAcentral is "sequence contains ITS1". The stretch from base 1 to 105 matches the Rfam family "5.8S ribosomal RNA", at positions 50 to 154 of the family's 154-position model. The record is from RNAcentral. RNAcentral also lists the same sequence under 1 other name. Lineage: Eukaryota; Fungi; Ascomycota.